GAACGGCAGCACGGGAGCAAUCCUGGUGGCGAGUGGCGAACGGGUGAGUAAUACAUCGGAACGUGCCCAAUCGUGGGGGAUAACGCAGCGAAAGCUGUGCUAAUACCGCAUACGAUCUACGGAUGAAAGCAGGGGACCGCAAGGCCUUGCGCGAAUGGAGCGGCCGAUGGCAGAUUAGGUAGUUGGUGAGGUAAAGGCUCACCAAGCCUUCGAUCUGUAGCUGGUCUGAGAGGACGACCAGCCACACUGGGACUGAGACACGGCCCAGACUCCUACGGGAGGCAGCAGUGGGGAAUUUUGGACAAUGGGCGCAAGCCUGAUCCAGCCAUGCCGCGUGCAGGAUGAAGGCCUUCGGGUUGUAAACUGCUUUUGUACGGAACGAAACGGCUCUUUAUAAUAAAGAGGGCUAAUGACGGUACCGUAAGAAUAAGCACCGGCUAACUACGUG
This 448-nucleotide ribosomal RNA is filed under the name uncultured bacterium. Its description in RNAcentral is "bacterial SSU rRNA". It matches the Rfam family "Bacterial small subunit ribosomal RNA", at positions 64 to 507 of the family's 1533-position model. The record is from RNAcentral.